AUUGAACGCUGGCGGCAGGCUUAACACAUGCAAGUCGAGCGGGGUGAUGGUGCUUGCACUAUCACUUAGCGGCGGACGGGUGAGUAAUGCUUAGGAAUCUGCCUAUUAGAGGGGGACAACAUCUCGAAAGGGAUGCUAAUACCGCAUACGUCCUACGGGAGAAAGCAGGGGAUCACUUGUGACCUUGCGCUAAUAGAUGAGCCUAAGUCGGGUUAGCUAGUUGGUGGGGUAAAGGCCUACCAAGGCGACGAUCUGUAGCGGGUCUGAGAGGAUGAUCCGCCACACUGGGACUGAGACACGGCCCAGACUCCUACGGGAGGCAGCAGUGGGGAAUAUUGGACAAUGGGGGGAACCCUGAUCCAGCCAUGCCGCGUGUGUGAAGAAGGCCUUAUGGUUGUAAAGCACUUUAAGCGAGGAGGAGGCUCUUUUGGUUAAUACCCAAGAUGAGUGGACGUUACUCGCAGAAUAAGCACCGGCUAACUCUGUGCCAGCAGCCGCCGUAA
This 503-nucleotide ribosomal RNA is filed under the name uncultured bacterium. Its description in RNAcentral is "partial 16S ribosomal RNA". It matches the Rfam family "Bacterial small subunit ribosomal RNA", at positions 30 to 523 of the family's 1533-position model. The record is from RNAcentral.